Molecule: non-coding RNA, 84 nt
Organism: Bombyx mori (domestic silkworm)
Lineage: Eukaryota; Metazoa; Arthropoda; Insecta; Lepidoptera; Bombycidae
Source: Rfam
UUAACUCAAAUUUGUAUGGAGUUGGAACUUUUGCCUACGUUUGCCGGUGGGGGCAUUGUUCGAACUGCAUACAUAUUUGAGUUA